CAUGCAAGUCGAGCGGUAAGGCCUUUCGGGGUACACGAGCGGCGAACGGGUGAGUAACACGUGGGUGAUCUGCCCUGCACUUCGGGAUAAGCCUGGGAAACUGGGUCUAAUACCGGAUAUGACCUCCUGUUGCAUGACGUGUGGUGGAAAGAUUUAUCGGUGCAGGAUGGGCCCGCGGCCUAUCAGCUUGUUGGUGGGGUAAUGGCCUACCAAGGCGACGACGGGUAGCCGACCUGAGAGGGUGACCGGCCACACUGGGACUGAGACACGGCCCAGACUCCUACGGGAGGCAGCAGUGGGGAAUAUUGCACAAUGGGCGAAAGCCUGAUGCAGCGACGCCGCGUGAGGGAUGACGGCCUUCGGGUUGUAAACCUCUUUCAGCAGGGACGAAGCGCAAGUGACGGUACCUGCAGAAGAAGCACCGGCUAACUACGUGCCAGCAGCCGCGGUAAUACGUAGGGUGCAAGCGUUGUCCGGAAUUACUGGGCGUAAAGAGUUCGUAGGCGGUUUGUCCCGUCGUUUGUGACAACCCGCCGCUCAACUGCUGGCUUGGAGGCGAUACGGGCAGACUUGAGUACUGC
This 581-nucleotide ribosomal RNA is filed under the name Rhodococcus erythropolis. RNAcentral describes it as "bacterial SSU rRNA". It matches the Rfam family "Bacterial small subunit ribosomal RNA", at positions 54 to 652 of the family's 1533-position model. The record is from RNAcentral. Lineage: Bacteria; Bacillati; Actinomycetota; Actinomycetes; Mycobacteriales; Nocardiaceae.